GAGUAUUGCCACACGCUACAUGUCUGUAUGCGCCACAGAAAGAGGUGCCCAUUUAAGACAACAGAAACAGAAUCGUGAUCACUGCAAGACUGUGAUGAAGGUGUUGGCAUUUGUUCAUGGACAGCUGGAAGCUGUGUUGGCCACUGUUGACCUGACUCACAUAGCCAAAGCCAAUGGUGCUGUGGAUGGCAUGAUGAUGGACCUGUUUCAUGAGGGAUGUUGUCUAUGACUUGUCCUCAUUACCAAAAGUGAUCCAAGGAUGAAAAAUAAAUAAAUAAAAAUGAGAGCUAACUAAAGUCACUGUCUGGAAAAUAGGACUGUUGACAUAUUCCAUAAUAGCUCAUUUUUUUCAAAUCUGGAGGAAAAUCUGGAAGUCGUGAAAUGGGACAUGGUUCAAGACAACCAUCAUGAUGAUGCAAAAGGGAGGCGCAGUUGCUGCACCACACCACAAUGCAGCAACCAUCAGAUGUAAUAAAAAAUGACACUGGUCGACGUGGCUGAACAUAGACCCACAAUUUGAACCUGUGAAAAUAGGGAACUGAGUUACAAUAAAAUGAGUUAAUUAAGAGUUAGGAGAACAGAACUUGAAAAAACAUUGAAAAGAAUAUUGUUGUAUAUUUCUGUAAAAAAUAGUAAAAAUUUGUCUCCAGUUUGAAGAAUCUAGUAUACAUGAUAACAUUAAAGUAUGCAUAAAAUGUAUAUCUUCUAUAACUGAUGUCAGUGACCAGUUUUAACAUAUAUUUCAUUUGUGUAUGCAAUACUGUAAAUUUGUAGUUUACGAAAAGUUUACAUUUUUUAAUUUGGGAUUUAUAUUGGAAGGUUUUUAGCUAACUGUCUGGACAGUGGAUUGUAUACUCAGCUAUUGGGUGGUAUCUGUAUAUACGACCCAAUGUGAGGGUUGCGUGACAUAGCAUGGUGAAUUCUCCCCAUCUGUUAUGUUUUUUCUACUCUCACUAAUAACCCAUUUUUUGAUAAUUUUUAUCUUAUUCUCAAUACCUUUAUCUACUGACAGGGAACACUUAGAUGAAAAUCUCAAGAUCUUAUUUAGACGUAAUUUUACUUGAAUUUACUCUUCAGAUUGUCAUUCUGGUUGUUUUGUUUACAUUAAGAUAAUUAAUUUUCAUUAGGGCACUCAUAAUUUGAAAAUGAAAUUGAGUGAUAUUAAUACUACAGUGCAACAUACAAAGCCCAACGAGAUAAUGGGCAGGAUACAAAGAAUGACCUACAUCUUUAGAAAGCUAAGCAUUCUAAAUUUCCAGUAACCUAUCUUAAAUUACCUAAGAAUAGUUAUCUUCCAAAAUAAUUAAACUUAAAUUUCUGACCACUACAAUUUUUCAUUAUUUGUUUUGCUCUACCAACUGUUAGAAUGUGAUUUUUGGCUACAUACUUUCAUUACCUUAAUUUUUCUGUACAAUGUGACAUGCAGAACUAAGUAAUUAACUCACUGCUUAAUAAUGUCAUGUAAUUUACACUAAUUUGCAAUAUGACAAUCAUAUAUGCAAAUGAGAGGAUUGAUAUCACAAUGAAUAAUACUGUCUAUGCAUUUUUCUAAAUUUCUAACCAAUAACAUUUUCUACAUGCCAAAAUCACACUGGAUAUUGUAGUUCAUCAAAAACAGUAAAACUCACCCCAGCCAAUUCUCUAAGCACAAUCUAAUUUACAAAAUAACAGUCUGUUCUUACACCUAUCUUCAAGAAGUUAGACAUCACCCAAAAUUGGCAGUUUGCUGUUAGGAAACCAAAGAGUAAGACCUAUGUCAGGUGCACUCUCCGUGUUGGCUCACACCAGUCAUGCAUGUUCUGUACAUGUAAAUGCAUGCUCUGACAUCCACAAAGCUCAAGAAAUUUAAUGUUUAAAGCCUUCUGUAACAUAAAUUAAGGAACAUUUUAUUGAAAUGUGUUUUGAUUAACAAGUGAUGUGAAAAAUCAUUGUCAUCAAAACAAAUGAUGGUUGGACACAAAGAUUCUCAUUUUGUACUGAAU
Long non-coding RNA from Schistocerca cancellata (South American locust), 1982 nucleotides. RefSeq lists it as uncharacterized. The transcript is spliced from 5 exons. NCBI's taxonomy places the organism in Eukaryota, Metazoa, Arthropoda, Insecta, Orthoptera, Acrididae. The record is from RefSeq and is a predicted model, not a curated record.